UGAAGGUUUCCUGCAUGUGCCCUUAUUGCUCGGGAGGAUGUUAUCAAUCCGAAGGUUAACAGAUUUAUACACGUAGCACGGGGGCCUUGGCAGCGCUGGGCGCUAACCGGUUACAAACGCAGACGGCCGGACGAGGCGUGGCGUACUGGGGGGGUUUCAUCCAGCGCCCGCCCGGGAGAGAAGCACGAGGCCGGCCCCGGAGCUGACUCCAGUUCCCGCGGACCCUGAUUGGGCCAAAGUCACACGGGAGGAGCUGGCAGAGCGGCCGCGGAGGAUGUGCGGGGCGGAGGGGAUUACUGGACAGAUGGCAGAAUCGGAGGGAGCAGAAACAGGCCCGCUGGCUGAGAGUAAUCUGGCCACCCUGGGCACUGAAGCUCCUGUAUACAGAACAGCAAGGAGGGUUUAAAGAAACAGAUAAUGAAAGAGAAGAGGGCAAUCCGUGUAGGUGGGAGGCUAGCAGCCCCCCGAGCCCAGAAGACCCCUAGAGGCAAGACGCUGGUCUGCAUAAGAGGAUCCUUUCAUUAUGUCAAUUUAUGCUUUAACGAAGUUGCUCAUUUAUGCAACUAUAACGAGAAAUGAGAGCUGAGUGCUCAGAUAUAUCUCUUAAUGCUGAAGAGGUUGAUUUCAAAAC
Brienomyrus brachyistius is the source of this 631-nucleotide long non-coding RNA. RefSeq lists it as uncharacterized. The transcript has 4 exons. The record is from RefSeq and is a predicted model, not a curated record. NCBI's taxonomy places the organism in Eukaryota, Metazoa, Chordata, Actinopteri, Osteoglossiformes, Mormyridae.